AUUGAACGCUGGCGGCAGGCCUAACACAUGCAAGUCGAGCGGAGCGGCGGACGGGUGCGUAAUGUCUGGGAAACUGCCUAUUAGUUGGGGACAACAUCUCGAAAGGGAUGCUAAUACCGCAUACUAAUAGCUUAGCCUAAGUCGGAUUAGCUAGUUGGUGGGGCAAAGGCCUACAAAGGCGACUAUCUGUAGCGGGUCUGAGCGGAUGAUCCGCCACACUGGGACUGAGACACGGCCCAGACUCCUACGGGAGGCAGCAGUGGGGAAUAUUGGGCAAUGGGGGGAACCCUGAUCCAGCCAUGCCGCGUGUGUGAAGAAGGCCUUAUGGUUGUAAAGCACUUUAAGCGAGGAGGCGUUACUCGCAGAAUAAGCAACGGCUAACUCCGUGCCAGCAGCCGCGGUAAUAC
RNAcentral lists this ribosomal RNA (407 nucleotides) under uncultured bacterium. Its description in RNAcentral is "partial 16S ribosomal RNA". It matches the Rfam family "Bacterial small subunit ribosomal RNA", at positions 30 to 526 of the family's 1533-position model. The record is from RNAcentral.